UCUAGAGUGGGGAGACACCACCAGAA
This 26-nucleotide non-coding RNA is filed under the name Mus musculus (house mouse). The record is from RNAcentral. Lineage: Eukaryota; Metazoa; Chordata; Mammalia; Rodentia; Muridae.